CUCUUCCUCGGGCGAUUGAGUCCUUCCGUUGACACAUGGCAAAGUGAGUUCCUUCCAGUGUUUAGACGCUAGAAACUCCUACCAAGCCAGACACGGGUAGGGAACUGCUAUUUUGACCAGAAAGUUUCUUCAGGUGAGAAAUACUUGGUCGUAGAAUCAGGCCUUGACAGACCCACCUACCCUGAGAACUUAACGAGGACCUGAGCGCUAGAACGCGGAGGAAUCAUUUCUUCGGUUGCUCUUUAGUCUGGCCGUAUCGUUGGCUGAAACAGCUGUCAAUUUGAGGGUAGCUCCACCUGCGGCCCUAGGGAACUCUGGGACUUGUAGUCUUUAAAUGUGAUUGUUGGUGCUGAGUUCUUUGUCAGCGCUUCGUGACGUUUACUGUGGUUUUGGAGUGUUCCAUUGUGCUUUUAUCUUUUCCCUUAUCAGCACUGUUAAAGCCAAAGACCACUUAGGAAAACUGGAAAGACUUAAUGUAUGUUCGUAAAGAUAAAUAUUAGUGUUUCAAACGUUUCACUGCUGUGCCCGCCUCUCUACUAAACGUUCGUAAUUCGUGUACUAAGUGGAUCGUAAAUGUCUUCGUUUUUGAAAUUCUUUCCUUUACAACAAAAUGGCCUUGAUUUUCGUAUUAGUGAUCAUCCUAUAAUAUUUGAAGAGUGCCCUGAAUUUAACAGCUGUAUAUCACUAUUGUCGCUGCUUACUUAAAUCGUGUUGAUGUGACACGAUGCAGAACUGACUGCUGUCUUGACAGGAAAACAUUGCUGUAGUUAAAACGUCAAGCGUGACGGAUUCCAGGAGGCGCAUAUGUUGUAUAUCCUUCAGGAUUGCAUUAUGAAGUGUUUUUUCAGUAGUAAUGGAAACAUGUUGGUUUGAGGCAGUUACCCUGCCUUUAUUGAAUCAUGAACUCCUUCACUUGUGAGCAUGUUUAAUAAUAUUUCGUCACUUUGUGUUUAGCAAAAGUAAAUAUCAACCUAUAAAUACCACAACUUCCUGAGUGGACUCUUUUCCUUUCAACACUUUUUUUUUUCUGUGUAUCAUGUAAUACAAACUUCACUUUUUGUAAGAAAAAGCAGGGAUUGUUGCUGGACUAAAAAUUAAGUAUAUUUUAGAGGAUUCAAGCCAAGCAGAAGCUGUUUUUUAUGAUGCUUGGAAUAGUUGCUUUUUUGUGUAAAAAAAAAAAAUUUUUUUAAAUUUUUUUGUGUGCUGUUUGUAAAUGAUCACAGAAUGUUUCAGGUUUUAUUUGUAAAUGAAAACAACGCGGGAUCCGAGCCGCGUCUGUGACCUACACCACAGCUCACAGCAACGCCGGAUCCUUAACCCACUGAGCAAGGGCAGGGACUGAACCUGCAACCUCAUGGUUCCUAGUCAGAUUCGUUAACCACUGCGCCACAGACGGCAACUCUGGUAUGUGAGUUUUGAGCAAGUUAUUUAAUCUCUCUAAACUUCAAAUUACUCACUAGAUGACAAUGUAUCCCUUUAAGGGAGGUUAUAAAGAUUAACAUAGUAUAAGGUACCCAGCACAGUGCUUGCAACAAUGCAGAUAUUCAGCAACUAUGGUUCAAAUUCCAAGAUUUGGUCCACUUGCUUUGAGAGAUUGUAGAAAGGAUGGCAAAAAGGAUGUUUGCUGAGUCACUCAGUUGUUGGAAAUUAUCCUUGAGAAAAAAAAUUUAGUGAUAGCACUAGGAGUAUACAACAGCCAGGAAGUGGAAUCAAAGAAGUUUAAAUGAUGUAAAUUAAUGUUAUAUGUAAAGUAGAGGAGAGCCCAGGAAAGAAGACAGUUGUGUGAUCUUAUGUGAAAUACAGACUCUGACUCUUCUCAUAUCCUUAGGGUUUUUUUUUUUUUUUUUUUUCAUGUCAUCUCCAACUGACCUUUGUGACAGUGUAGUACAAAACCAUCUGAGCUUAAAAAAAAAAAAAAAAAAAAAUGAAAGCCUUCUGUUUUCUUUUGUAGAUUUCUGGAACAUUUAACCCCCAGAAUCAAAUACCACUGGUAUCCAUACUCAUCAUCUGCAUCUUUUUGCAUUUUCUUGUUUGAUUCUCUCUUACCUUUAUUCUAAAGAAGUAUGUAAUAGGAGGUUGGAUUUAAUUUUCUAAGCAUUAUAUUAAAUUUUCUUGCCAGAUAACACAAUAUUCCAGUUGUACCAAGCAUUAUAAAGAUGGAUCUGAUCAUAAUGCCAGCAUCUUCAUAUCUAAACAAUAAUGAUAUCACAUUGCAACAAAGCCAUGUUUGUUUUUUUCAUUUAAAGAAAUACCUUGUUAUGAUGGAGUUAAAAUACAGAGUUUCAGUGGGAAUCAGCUGCUUAAAUAAGUUUGUAAUCAGAUAAUUAUAAAUGAUUACAGAUAAUUGUUUGAAGGCUGAUGAAGAAAGUUUGGAAGAGAAAAAGAACAUUAAGUGGAUUAAGUCUCAGUCACGAAUAUGUGAAUCUAAUUAAUUAGCAUUUUUCUCACCCUUAAAUUCCCAAAUUGAAAAUCUAUAUAUAGUAGUUGUUGACUGACUACUUUUGAUAAUCAUUUCCCACUUAAACUUGUAGCAAGUAAUACUUUUUCCUGUAAAUCUUCCACAUUAAAAAAUGUAUUUUGAAAGAUAUAUUUGCUACUUAGAGCAGCAUGAGCAGUGAAGGGAAGAGAACUGUUUCUUUCAAAAAGCAAAGUCAUUCCUACUGUAUAGCAUAGGGAACUAAAUUCAGUAUAUUGUAAUAACCUAUAAUGAAAAAGAAUGUGAAAGAGAAUAUAUAUAUAUAUAACUGAUUCACUUUGCUGUAUACCAAACUGACAUAACAUUGUAAAUAACUAUACUUUAAUGAAUAUAUAUGUGUGUGUGUGUGUGUAUGUAUAUAUAUAUGAAUAUGUAUGUGUGUAUGUGUGUAUGUAUGUAUAUAUAUAUGAGUUCUCUGGUGGUUCAGUGGGUUUAGUAUUUGGCAUUGGCAUUGCUGUGGCUCAGGUUGCUGCUAUGGUGUGGGUUCGGGCCCUGGCCUCAGAACUUCUGCAUGCCAUGGGCAUGGGGGAAAAAAGCAUAUAUAUGUGACAAAAAUAGAGUGCAAAGUCAUAAAUCCCAAGUAAGUCUAAGUGGGCUAAAUUACAAGCUUUGUCCCCCAACCCAAGAGAAUGGUCGUGCAGGAGAAAACAGUGCUUCUCCAUCCCUUGUAGAUGACUUGACUGCCUGUUUGAUCAGCUAAGAUAAGGAAAAGCAAGGACUUCUGAGUUUUGCUUGGUCUUUGAGUAGAGAGAUGGGGGAGGUAAAGGCAGAUGAUUCAUGUGGUGUGGUUACCAUUAUGGUCAUUUCUUAUGUAUAGGGAGGACUCUGGGCAUGAUUAGGAAACUGGAGAAUAAAAAAAUGAGAAAUGAAAAUCAUGUUCCCAAAACAAUAUAAAGUACUAUAUCUCUCAUGGCCAGGAAUUUACAUAAAUGUGUUUUGUUUAGGAAGUGUUUCUUUUUUCUUUUUUUCUUUUUUCUUUUGGCCAUGCCCGUAGCAUGCAUAAGUUCCCAGUACAGAAAUUGAACCCACAGCACAAGAAUGACCCAAGCUACAGCAGUUACAAUGCCAGAUCCUUAACUGCUAGCCUUCCAAGAAACUCCAGAAAAUGUUUUUCCUUCAUGUUAGUUGAUUCAUUCUUUCAACAAAUACUAUGGAUCACUUAUUAUGUACCCAGUAUAUUUUACAUCCUGGAGUUAGUGUUAAGCAAAACAAAGUCCCUCCCUUCACAAAGUUUAUUCUCUACUGAGCAGACAAAUAAUAUCCAUAAUUUAUAUUUAAAAGUGUAUAAUGUAAUUUCAUCUAAUGACAAGUCCUAUGCAGGGUGGAAUAUUCAAAUAUUUAACACCACAAUGGCCAGCUGGUAAUAACUGAUAUGGUUUCACAUCUCCAUGUACGCCCCUGCAUUUGCUCUCUUCCUUCCCUGUCUCACUUGUCUUUCCUGAUCGCUCCAACUUCCUUGACAUUGAACUUUCCAAUAAAGUGUUCAUAUAUAAGCUUUAGCUUGUAAAUGUUUUCCAACAUACCCCUUCAUACCUCUGCCCUAACCCCUCAGAACGUGGGCCAGCCUUAGACUUGUGACUGGUAUUAAUGCCUCUUGUUGCUGGGCAUGGACAGGUCUGGGAGAUAUUAGGAUAGCAAGAACGGAGGAUGCACUCAGGAUCUGAGGCAGCAGCUAUUUGCUUGCUAGCGUAGAAGUAGAGAUUUCAAUAUUACAGUGAUUGAUGUAGCUAUGAUAAAGCAAAUCAGCUGAAAAAUCAGUCCUGCUCUU
Molecule: long non-coding RNA, 4244 nt
Filed under: Sus scrofa (pig)
Lineage: Eukaryota; Metazoa; Chordata; Mammalia; Artiodactyla; Suidae
Description: lncRNA (ENSSSCG00060027879.1)
Source: RNAcentral